Molecule: ribosomal RNA, 253 nt
Filed under: uncultured bacterium
Lineage: Bacteria
Description: partial 16S ribosomal RNA
Rfam family: Bacterial small subunit ribosomal RNA
Source: RNAcentral
UACAGAGGGGGCAAGCGUUGUUCGGAAUUACUGGGCGUAAAGGGCGCGUAGGCGGCCUGCUAAGUCGAACGUGAAAUCCCCGGGCUCAACCCGGGAACUGCGUCCGAUACUGGCAGGCUUGAAUCCGGGAGAGGGAUGUGGAAUUCCAGGUGUAGCGGUGAAAUGCGUAGAUAUCUGGAGGAACACCGGUGGCGAAGGCGGCAUCCUGGACCGGUAUUGACGCUGAUGCGCGAAAGCCAGGGGAGCAAACGGG